CCCGGAGCUGGGGCGCGGAGGGAGGGCCGAGGGCGCGUCGGAGCCUCAUCCGGCCUGGGCCCUCCGAGCGGGAGCGACCCGGGUGCGGGGCCCCACUCUGCCUGGUCGCCCCGAGCGCGUGGAACGCGAGCCGAGGUUCCGCCCGAAAUGCGGCCGGCGAAGGGGUGCGGUCCGGGCGGGGUCGCGCGCCCCCAGCACGCUGCCUGGGCUCUGGAAUCUGGGAGAAGCCUCCAGCACGGGCUCCCGAGCGCACAAACUCAGGGACGCCCUUCCUCCCGUCCCUGGUCCCCUCCCCGAAAAGCGAGGGGGACGGGCCUGGAGGGAAACGGAUUCGGUUUCGCUCCGCUCUCGUCAAUUUUCUGUUUAAUGUCACCGGGCCCCACUGUGGGAGUAGGAAGCGCGUCACCCGGGCCAUAAAUUUGCGGUGAUGGCGCCUCCGGCCGCCUCCCCAGACGGAGGGACAGGGCCGACUCCGGAGCAGGUGGGGCCGCCGAGACUCGACCUCCGCGGUAGGCGCUGC
This 520-nucleotide long non-coding RNA is filed under the name Homo sapiens (human). RNAcentral describes it as "HSALNT0246194". The record is from RNAcentral. Lineage: Eukaryota; Metazoa; Chordata; Mammalia; Primates; Hominidae.